GAUGAACGCUAGCGGCAGGCCUAAUACAUGCAAGUCGAACGGGAUCCAUUGGGAGCUUGCUCCUGGUGGUGAGAGUGGCGCACGGGUGCGUAACGCGUGAGCAACCUACCCUUGUCAGGGGGAUAGCCCGGCGAAAGUCGGAUUAACACCGCAUGACAUUACGAGAUGGCAUCAUUUUGUAAUCAAAUAUUUAUAGGACAGGGAUGGGCUCGCGUGACAUUAGCUGGUUGGUAAGGUAACGGCUUACCAAGGCUACGAUGUCUAGGGGCUCUGAGAGGAGAAUCCCCCACACUGGUACUGAGACACGGACCAGACUCCUACGGGAGGCAGCAGUAAGGAAUAUUGGUCAAUGGACGCAAGUCUGAACCAGCCAUGCCGCGUGCAGGAAGACGGCCCUACGGGUUGUAAACUGCUUUUGUACGGGAACAAACCCCUCUACGUGUAGGGGGCUGAGUGUACCGUAAGAAUAAGGAUCGGCUAACUCCGUGCCAGCAGCCGCGGUAAUACGGAGGAUCCAAGCGUUAUCCGGACUUAUUGGGUUUAAAGGGUGCGUAGGCGGCCUAUUAAGUCAGGGGUGAAAUACGGCAGCUCAACUGUCGCAGUGCCUUUGAUACUGAUAGGCUUGAAUGCGGAUGAGGUAGGCGGAAUGAGACAAGUAGCGGUGAAAUGCAUAGAUAUGUCUCAGAACUCCGAUUGCGAAAGGCAGCUUACUAAGUCGUGAUUGACGCUGAUGCACGAAAGCGUGGGGAUCAAACAGGAUUAGAUACCCUGGUAGUCCACGCCCUAAACGAUGAUCACUCGCUGUUGGCGAUACACGGUCAGCGGCUAAGCAAAAGCAUUAAGUGAUCCACCUGGGGAGUACGGCCGCAAGGCUGAAACUCAAAGGAAUUGACGGGGGCCCGCACAAGCGGAGGAACAUGUGGUUUAAUUCGAUGAUACGCGAGGAACCUUACCUGGGCUUAAAUGUGGAGUGCAUUGGUGAGAAAUCAUCAUUUUCUUCGGAACUCUCUGCAAGGUGCUGCAUGGUUGUCGUCAGCUCGUGCCGCGAGGUGUCGGGUUAAGUCCCAUAACGAGCGCAACCCUUAUCGUUAGUUGCCAGCGGGUCAAGCCGGGGACUCUAGCGAAACUGCCGGUGUAAACCGAGAGGAAGGUGGGGAUGACGUCAAAUCAGCACGGCCCUUAUGUCCAGGGCUACACACGUGUUACAAUGGCCGGUACAGAGGGCAGCUACCUGGAGACAGGAUGCGAAUCUCGAAAGCCGGUCUCAGUUCGGAUCGGAGUCUGCAACUCGACUCCGUGAAGCUGGAUUCGCUAGUAAUCGCGCAUCAGCCACGGCGCGGUGAAUACGUUUCCGGGCCUUGUACACACCGCCCGUCAAGCCAUGGAAGUUGGGGGUGCCUGAAGUCCGUAACCGCGAGGAGCGGCCUAGGGUAAAACCAGUGACUGGGGCU
Molecule: ribosomal RNA, 1451 nt
Filed under: uncultured bacterium
Lineage: Bacteria
Description: bacterial SSU rRNA
Rfam family: Bacterial small subunit ribosomal RNA
Source: RNAcentral